GGCUUGGUGACAUAGUGGUAACGCGCUCUGUGUACCUAUGUAAGAUUCGCAUAUCGUUUAACGGAAAGUCCGGAGUUCGACUCUCCGUCAAGCCA
Non-coding RNA from Mycena latifolia, 95 nucleotides. The record is from the annotation of a GenBank genome assembly. Lineage: Eukaryota; Fungi; Basidiomycota; Agaricomycetes; Agaricales; Mycenaceae.